UCUCAUUUCAAGCACAAUAAUACCAGACCAAAAGCAUCAUCAAACCUCCUAUUUCGGUUCCACAUAAUCACUACUCUUAGCAAGUCAUUAUGCACGUCAUUAUGCAUGCCAUUAUGCCGUC
RNAcentral lists this small RNA (121 nucleotides) under Cryptococcus neoformans H99. RNAcentral describes it as "Cryptococcus neoformans var. grubii H99 hypothetical RNA". The record is from RNAcentral. Lineage: Eukaryota; Fungi; Basidiomycota; Tremellomycetes; Tremellales; Cryptococcaceae.